This 253-nucleotide ribosomal RNA is filed under the name uncultured bacterium. RNAcentral describes it as "partial 16S ribosomal RNA". It matches the Rfam family "Bacterial small subunit ribosomal RNA", at positions 524 to 776 of the family's 1533-position model. The record is from RNAcentral.
CACGUAGGGCGCAAGCGUUGUCCGGAAUUAUUGGGCGUAAAGAGCUCGUAGGUGGUUUGUUACGUCCGCUGUGAAAUCCCGAGGCUCAACCUCGGGCUUGCAGUGGGUACGGGCAGGCUAGAGUGCGGUAGGGGAGAAUGGAACUCCUGGUGUAGCGGUGGAAUGCGCAGAUAUCAGGAAGAACACCGAUGGCGAAGGCAGUUCUCUGGGCCGUAACUGACGCUGAGGAGCGAAAGCGUGGGGAGCGAACAGG